Molecule: non-coding RNA, 2552 nt
Organism: Microcebus murinus (gray mouse lemur)
Lineage: Eukaryota; Metazoa; Chordata; Mammalia; Primates; Cheirogaleidae
Source: RefSeq, a predicted model, not a curated record
UUUCCUUUCAGUUGCAUUUGUUUAGCAUCACUUUACUCACCCAUUAUUUUCCAUCUUUUUCUUUUUAAAGGUAAGGUAUCACUUACCUUUAAAUAUGUAUAAAUUACAUUUAACUAGCUUUGGCUUUUAGCACCUACUAUGACCACCUCUGUUUUUAAAGGUGGAAUUUAAUCCAUUCGUAUUAAACAACAGUGGUUUCAUUUAACGUUGUUUUGUUGAAACAUCAAUGAGGAAAAAUCAGUGCAUUCCCGGCCGGGGCCACUGUCUGUGUGGAGUUCGCAGGUUCGGGGCUCCUCCAUGCCUUUCCCAAGGGUUUGAAGACGCUGCAGCAGCUCGCGGCUCCUCCUCCUCAAGUGGUGACACCCAGGAGCAGGAAGAAAAGGGCGAGAGGCUCUCUCAGAUGCCUGCCUCUUUCUUCUUUCCCAGAAGCCCCCGGGGCACAUCCCUUUGUCUCACUGGCUGGGACGGGGUCACGUGGCCAUGCCCGCACCGCGGGGGAGGCUGGGAAAGCAGGCGGCCAUCAUCUUCCGCCUGGAAUAGCUGAUGGAUCCCACCAGCCAGGAGGACGGGAACUGAGAAAAAGAAAACACAUAUCCGAAUACUGCAAAGAGACAUUCAAAUCAAAGAUAAUGGACCCAAACAAUUGCCGUCCCUUAUAUUUCAAGUUUGGAGAAGAGAGCUAAUAAAAGAUUAAAGAGAAGACCCGGGAGCCGCAGGAACAAGUUUGAGCAAUCACUUGUCACUUGAGAAAUUUCAGAAGAACUUUGCUGCUGUCAUCCACCCCUGGAAGCUCACCAAAACCCCCAACCAGCCUGGAAGCCCCACUGGUGGGAAAGGAGAUGACCCAUUCCCCUGACCAGUGGACAGCAGGCCUGCCUUCAAGUCACAGGGAGAUCUGUCGCCCUUCAUUGUGAUGAUCUAUAGAAGUUUAGAACCUUCUGUAAAACAGGCAGCAGCAAUCGAUACAGAUCUACAGCUGCCUUCUCAACGAGUCUUUAAAUAUUUAUGUCACUGCUUUACUUAAGUUACUCACGGAAUGAUAUUGUAUGGGAUCCUCAUGCAUUCAACAAAACGUUGAUUAAAUAUCCACCACUCUGGUUAGUGUUCUGCAUUAGAAAACUACACUCUUUGAGUCAGCAAACAGGCAGCAAGCAAACCAACCCCAGGCGGGACAGGAUGAACUGACGGACCAGCACAGACGUCCUCAGUACGCACACCUGCCCCGGGGGAGCACAGCGCGGCAGGGGGAAAAGGAAAGGGAAGGAAGAAGCACAGACCUACUGUGUGCCGUGUCAUUUAUUAGGCACCCGAAUCUAAUGAGAAGGGCAUUGUACUAACAGGGAAACUAAGCUUUUGGGGAGUUUGGAUAACUUGUACAAGGUCACACCCAGCUUCUGUGUUUAUAGAAACAGGAGGUGGGGACAGGGAUUCGAACCCAAAUCUCUUUCACCCCUAAGUCCUCCCCUUCUGAAUCCAUGCUGGCUGCAGACCGGCAGCAGGGAGAAGCCAUGGGGAAAGCUUGUUUUAGGUCAGGUGCUUCCAAACGGAUUGAAGCAGACGUAAUUCUGAAUCUAUCUGAGGAGCUUUUCUUUGUUUGUAGGGAUCCACAGAUUUCUCACUUGCUGAAUUUUAUAGUUGAGGCUAGUGUUUUUGCUGAUAAAUGCAUGUGGACAGGCUUUUCAAUUUUCUUUUCAUUCCUGGAGAUAUUAUUUAAUACAUUUCUUUGAUGGGUGGUGAUGCACAAAUCGGUUUUAAUAUCAAUAAUGUACCACUUGGAAAACAUUCAAUUUCUGGGUGCGCCAAAAAAAACAUCCCUUCAUGUCAGGGUUUAUUGAAUCCAAUCCUAGGAGGCUGAGGGAGAGUGGAGUUCCUUAAGCAGAAGAGUAAACAGAUGGUCUUUGGAAAGUGCUCGUGUUCUUAAGCACCGAAUUAGUUUUGGACAGAAUGGAGUCACAUAUGCCAACGCCGUUGGCCAGCAGAGUGGUAGCAGGGAGACAUCAAAACUAUCGUGACAUUCUUCAAACCUUUGGGCUUAAUUUGGGUCUCAGUGAUCUGAUAGGAGUGGUUACAAAUUGCCAGGUGCCCCUCGCCUGGAUAAUUUAGGAAAAGAGGCAUGGCUGGCAGACAGUAAGGGAACCCAACAGGGCUUAGAGCAGUUGUAAGCAUUUGAUGUUCAACAUCCUUCAGGGCCACCUCCCCUGGGGCAGGAAUCCAUAGAGCCGGGAGUGCCAGCUUCUGGCCUCAUUAUCCAAAACAGUAACCCCAUGCUGUGGUCUGAAUGUGUCUCCAAAGCCCACGAGUUGCAAACCUAGUCCCCAGCGCACCAGUGUUGGGAGGUGGGGCCUGAUGGGGGGCUCCACCUUCAUAAAUUGAUGAAUGUCGCUGUCAUGGGAGUGGGCUUGUUACAAAAGCAAGUGUGGCCCCCUCUCACCCCCUCUCCUGCCAUCUUGCCUCCCACCAUGCAGCAAGAAGGCCCUCAGAGAUGCUGGCACCUUCCACUGCACUUCCCAGCCCCGAGAACUCUGAGAAAUAAAUCUCUCCUCUUUAUAAAA